CACACAUUGUGCUAAACAAUGCUGUGAUUAUGCUGAAAUAUUGUGUUUAACAAUGCUGUGAUUAUGCUGAAAUAUUGUGUUUAACAAUGCUGUGAUUGUGCUGGAAUAUUGUGUUUAACAAUGCUGUGAUUAUGCUGAAAUAUUGUGUUUAACAAUGCUGUGAUUAUGCUGAAAUAUUGUGUUUAACAAUGCUGUGAUUGUGCUGGAAUAUUGUGUUUAACAAUGCUGUGAUUAUGCUGAAAUAUUGUGUUUAACAAUGCUGUGAUUAUGCUGAAAUAUUGUGUUUAACAAUGCUGUGAUUGUGCUGGAAUAUUGUGUUUAACAAUGCUGUGAUUAUGCUGAAAUAUUGUGUUUAACAAUGCUGUGAUUAUGCUGAAAUAUUGUGUUUAACAAUGCUGUGAUUGUGCUGGAAUAUUGUGUUUAACAAUGCUGUGAUUAUGCUGAAAUAUUGUGUUUAACAAUGCUGUGAUUGUGCCGGAAUAUUGUGUUUAACAAUGCUGUGAUUGUGCUGGAAUAUUAUGUAAAUAUAAUUUAGAAAGUGAUAACCUCAUAGCAGCUGAAAAUACAGAUGUAGAUUUUGCCUUAAUGAACCUACGCAAUCUAAAAGGCAUAUGUAAAUUGACUUCGUAAGACAAACUACAAUAAUUACGACUGCAUCUCAGCCAGGAACUUACUAAGGAAGGACUUGCGCCCAUUGUCAUCGUGAAAACUAGAACAAUUCAGGUGUAGCUAUAUGACGAGAGUCGGCUGAUGAACACAAGGAACCAAUGGCCGCCAAACCACCAUUAUUAAAGAUGCCGGAUAAAAUCACUGAGGAUGAAAAGAACAGUUUCCGUCUUAUCAAGAUGGCAUUCUGCACGGCUCGUUAUGUCCUCUACACCAUCUUCCUCUGGGGAACUUUGCAGUCACAGAACCAGACACUUGAGGAUUAUCUUCUCAAUACUAAAGUCUAUACCAUGACCAAAUACAAGAACUGUUUUAAUAACAUGCAGAGGCAGAAAAUGACUUCUAGGGAUCUCGAAAGCAAAUUUGACAUCAGUCACUUGUAUAAAGCCAUUAUUCAUGCUUGUGAUAAAGUAAACUUUGUCAAAGUAGAGCAAAAGGAUCCUAAUAGCCUUGAAUGGUUGAUUAAUGCCAUUAAGGAUUUCAGAAAUGAAGUAAGUCACUCUAUGUUAGGCAUAACAAAAGAAACUAUGAUGGAAAAGAUAGACGUGCUCAGAAACCUGCUGGAGAAAGCCUUGGACACAGCAGGACUCUUGUAUAACAGAGACCCGGCCGAUAUAAGGGCGGAGAUUGAUACCAUGAACAAAGACAUUAAGUAUAUACGGGAUCAGCCUUUGGCACAGACAGACAUAAGUGAAUACGAAAUUGAUUUGCUCAAUGAGAAACAUAGAGCUAAACUUGGGAAAGAAGGAUUAAUAGAAUUAAAGGAAAAGUACAAAAACUGGUCACAGAUAAACCCUGUGUCAUUCCUUGAAGGUGAGAGGAUGCACUUGAGGGUUAGUACAGUGUUCACCCAGAUUGAAGUUGAGGCUGCUGGCCGCAAAUUCAAAGGCUCCAUUGUACCUUACGAGAAUGUACUUUCUUUGUGUAUGGAUAAUGCUUAUUCAAAAACCAACAACAAUAUAAACGCCCCUGUAAUAUUUCUUAUUGAGGGACCAGCAGGGUCAGGAAAAACAACAUUGACAAAAUUGAUGAUGUCAGAAUGGUGUACUGGUGGGGGGUCCAUGCAGGGUCUUAAUGAAUACGAAUUAUUGCUCUACAUGGAGUGCCGCAACUUAUCCAUCUCCAACUUUCCUCAGCUCCUCAGUCAGUUGAUGCCCCGCACCAACGCUCGGUACUUCAAGGAGGGUGAUUUGUUGAAGUACACAUUAGACCUGAAGACAUUGCUGAUUGUUGAUGGGCUUGAUGAGAUGAAUUCUAAAUCAGAAGAGCUCUUCAUGGACAUAAUCAACCAGAGAGUUGAUAACCUUGUUGUGCUUUGUACUUCUCGUCCAGAAAAAGUGCCCUACUUUCAAACACAUAUCCCUCAUGAGUAUCGCAUUGCUCACCUCAAGAUUACUGGUGUUGCUGACAAUAAACGGGAAGAGUUCAUUAGGAAAUACCAUGAUGAAAUGUUGAGGCAAGGGCUAAGUACAGGAGACACCGAGGAAAUUGUAGAGUAUGUGAAAAAGUCAGAAAUCCACCUUCAGAAGCACUACAGGCUCCCCCUCAACCUGGUAGUUUUAGUAUGGCUCUGGGCUGAUGAUAAGGCACGAAUAAAUGCGGUUACAACUUCCAGUGAGCUGUACUUUGAAACACACAAACUAAUGAAGAGGAAGCUCACAGAGAGGCUCGCCCACAAUGAGGCCACAAAAGGGGUGGAUCGUGAUGAUUUACAUAAAAAAGUGGAGUGUUUCUUGAGCAGCAUGUACCGUGAAGCACUUGUGGCACUCCGAUGGGACACCUUAGAAAAAUUUUUGCCCAAGUCUUUACAUCAAAUGAAGCUUGCUUGCUCUACAAAUAAUCUACCUUCCAAAGAGACAAUGUCUGCCUUUUUGGUUGUAAAAAUGGUAGAAGGAGAGGAACAAGUGAGCAUUCCUCACAAGCUACUUCAUGAGUUUUAUGCUUCACUUUGGAUUGUGCAGAGUCUGUUUGAUGAAAGUUGCAAAAGAGAGAAUGAUACUUUGUUUCAAAACUAUGCCAUGUUCCUCCAAACACAAUCAAUUGGAUCUACAUUACAACAGGAUUUACUUAAUGACGUUAUGACAAAAUUAACUCAGAGAGUUGAAAUUCAGAAACCAGAUGCCAUCCGGUCUAUAUUAGCAGACCUGCAUAGCGAUGAUCCUGCCACCCUAAGGAUGUCCAAGUACCAAUCCUUGCUGCUGCAGGUUGCUGGGGUGCUGUAUACUCAACACAGUUCCAAGAUUAAGGAUUGUACUGCCCAGGACAUAGUAGAACUCUUAAAAGAAUCAGGACUGGGACACAAUGAUGAUAAUGAGUGGUUUGAGCUAUUGGAUCUUGUAAACAAUGACAGUGCAGUAAUUAAAUAUGUAUCUAGACAUAUAUGUAAUAGUAUAACAAUUAAAGAGGGUCAUAUAAGAGCUGCCCUUAAGCUGUUGAAAGAUGCCAGGCCCAAGAAGGUUAGAGUCAGUAUCAACAGUAAUCACCGAAAUAUUGCAGAAUUUCCGAAUCUCCUUGAGAGCAUAACAAGAAUCAAAUGUAAAGUAGAGCUUUACUUCCAUCAUGACUUUCAGCAUCCUGGACUAGUGACUACAGAUGACAACGAACUCCAGGCUGUAGUUGAAAGGUUUGCACAUCACUUGCGGAGUGUCUGCAAGUGAUGUUACCCAGGUGCCUGCUUCCAACAUUCUGCUCUGGCUGUUGCUGACUGAUGUUGAGGAUGAUAACAUGACCAGAGCAUGUGAUAUAGUUCAUGGACAUAAGAUUCCCAAGAGCUAAUGUCUCAGUAGCAGGAUGGGAACAACUUCUGGAGAGACUACAGCAAAGUGGAGUGCAUGUGGGUCAUAUCUCAAUACCGGAGGAUGCAGAGGUGAAUG
Molecule: unclassified non-coding RNA, 3539 nt
Filed under: Homarus americanus (American lobster)
Lineage: Eukaryota; Metazoa; Arthropoda; Malacostraca; Decapoda; Nephropidae
Description: uncharacterized LOC121859984, transcript variant X2
Source: RNAcentral